Molecule: ribosomal RNA, 544 nt
Filed under: uncultured bacterium
Lineage: Bacteria
Description: bacterial SSU rRNA
Rfam family: Bacterial small subunit ribosomal RNA
Source: RNAcentral
AAUAGAUACCCUGGUAGUCCAUGCCGUAAACGUUGGGAACUAGAUGUGGGGACCAUUCCACGGUCUCCGUGUCGCAGCUAACGCAUUAAGUUCCCCGCCUGGGGAGUACGGCCGCAAGGCUAAAACUCAAAGGAAUUGACGGGGGCCCGCACAAGCGGCGGAGCAUGCGGAUUAAUUCGAUGCAACGCGAAGAACCUUACCAAGGCUUGACAUAUACCGGAAAGGUCUGGAAACAGUCCCCCCGCAAGGUCGGUAUACAGGUGGUGCAUGGUUGUCGUCAGCUCGUGUCGUGAGAUGUUGGGUUAAGUCCCGCAACGAGCGCAACCCUCGUCUUAUGUUGCCAGCGGUUCGGGCCGGGGACUCAUAAGAGACUGCCGGGGUCAACUCGGAGGAAGGUGGGGAUGAGGUCAAAUCAUCAUGCCCCUUAUGUCUUGGGCUUCACGCAUGCUACAAUGGCCGGUACAAAGGGCUGCAAUACCGCGAGGUGGAGCGAAUACCCAAAAAGCCGGUCUCAGUUCGGAUUGAGGUCUGCAACUCGACCCCA